AGGGUUGAGUUUGAUCAGCCUGGAGACAGGAAGGCUCCGUGGAGACCAUAUAGCACCUUCCAGUACCUACAGGGGAAUUAUAAAGCAGUGAGCUUGGCAGAAAAGGCCCUGUGAAGCAAAGCAGCAUGAAAAUCCAGAGCUGCUUGUGGAUGGCAGGUGAAAGCUGGAGCCCUCCCAUGUUGUAAAAAGAGCCUUGGGAUUUGCUUCUGGGAAUGGGGAUCCAUUUCCUGAUGGGAGUCCUUGAAAUAGAAGUGAGUCUCUGUGAGAAAUGAGGAGGCUACAGGAGUGCUGGGGUUGGAGAGUCCACACACUGCUUGUAGGUGUAAACACUGCUCCAGAGAUUUCUGAAGAUUCUGUUUUGGAAAGGUUGGGUGCAUUCAGCUGAAACAUAAGCUGAAGACUGGCUGUGUGAUGAAAGGGAAAGCAAAGCAUGCUGUAUACCUUGACUUCAGCAAGUCCUUUGACACCAGUUCCUGCUGUAUUCUGGCUGCCAAAUUGGUGAGAUCUGGAUUGAAUAAGUAGACAAAUAAGACUGCCUGGGACUAACUCAUAGAUGGCUCUGUUAGAGUCCUCAUCUGCCCUCUGGAAGUGUGAAAUGCCAUUACUGAAGAGUCAGUGGUGUCUAGUGAUGUCAGAAAGCCUGGAGCUGCAUCACCUGAGGGAUCUGAGAGAAUUUAGAUAAUUUAUGAGUUUGAGAAGUGUACUAUUAACAUCUGACUAAAGAUGAUGUUAAAGAUGGUGCACUUCAUCAAGAACAGAAAAAAGCAUCCUUAAUCAUGAUUCAGGUGCAAAGAACCAGGCUGUGGUUUCAGGCUAAUUUAAGCCUACAUAGGUUGAGAUGACUCCACAAACAAAGCUCACCAAAAUAGAUACUGCUUGAUUGAAGUGGCUGUGAAAUUCCACCAGAAUAUCUUCAGUACUUCUUGACAUGAACUGGAGACUGUAGGAUUGUUCCCUUCAAAUCCUGUCAGCCACCUGACACAGCAGCCCAGGUUGCUCUCACCUGGAAGGCAUCCAUCUGCAUCUGGACACAGCUUUGGCCAAGAUGGAUUGCAGUUCUGACUUCAGUGGAAGAUGAGUGUGACAGCGGCAGCGAGGACAAGGCUGUACUGAGCCGUACUCUGGGGGGGAUGUCAAAGAAUCAUACCCCAGAAUCACAGAAUCAUUUAGGCUGGAAAAGAACUCUAUGACCAUGAAGUCAUUAACCCAGCACUACCAAGUCUACCACUGAACCAUGUCCCCAAGAGCAACAUCCACAUGUUUUAAAUACCUCCUGAGUUCAUGAGUCAAUUAGUUCCCUGGGCAGCCUGUUCCUUGACAACCCUUUCUGGGAAGAAAUUUUUCCCAAUGUCCAACCUAAAUCUCCCCUGGCGCAACCUGAGGCCGUUUCCUCUUGUCCUAUCACUUGUUACCUGGGAGAAAAGGCUGACUCCCACCUCGGUACACCUUCCUUUCAGGUAGUCACAAAAAAUGAGAGGGUCCCAUCCAAGCCUCCUUUUUUUGCAGGCUGAGCCCCCCCCAUUUCCCUCAGCCUCUCUUCAUAAGACUUGUGCUCCAGAUGUCCACCACCUGCCCCUUAUGUGGCUGCAGGUUUGUGUUGCAGGGCGGGUCUAUUUGCUGCUGUCUUGGUAGCCUUGGUGGGAGCAGAGAUGCUGCCACCGAGUCUGCAGAUCAGAGGCAGAAUGGCUCAGGCUGUGUCACAUUGAAUUUUGGCUAUAAUAGCAGCUCUUUCAACAUGAAACUGCUAAUACUGACUCUUAAACUCUCGUUACAGGUUUAAUAUACCAAUUAUAACAAUGCUGUUGAGAAGGCAAGACAGUAAGUUUGCACUGGCCUCUUGAUUACAUGGUAUUUGACAAAGUCCUGCAUUUUAAUUUGAUUUCUUCCUUGUUCACCUGCCAUAAGCCCCAGCUGUGCGGAUGCUCCUGCAUAUCUUUGUUAUCGGUGGUGUGUGUCAGGUGUGAAGGGGCUGUGCUGACUCAUCACCUCCACCCGGACAAGAACGGGAGAUCCCAGGAUGGUGUGCAACCUUGCCA
Myiozetetes cayanensis is the source of this 2036-nucleotide long non-coding RNA. RefSeq lists it as uncharacterized. The record is from RefSeq and is a predicted model, not a curated record. NCBI's taxonomy places the organism in Eukaryota, Metazoa, Chordata, Aves, Passeriformes, Tyrannidae. The transcript is spliced from 7 exons.